GUAACGGGUGCGAUCGGUGAACUAUUAUCAUAUCAUUUCUAUCCUCAAAGGCUUUCCUGUCUCCUAGGAGACAAGCAUGUAAAUAAGUGAUUCUACAUCACAGAGGGAAAUAAGCAGAGGUCCAGAAACAGGGCUACCCACCAAUCGCGUGGUGACAGAGGAGAGAGGGUCCUAAGGACAGAUGAGGAUGUUCUUGAUUUUGUACUCCAAGUAAAUGUAUUUAAGAAUGGUUACCCCAACCUCUGAGAAAUCUGAAAGUGGCAGCUGGAAAUGCCAGGAGAACACAUGGCAACACUGAAUUGACAGAGUUCAAACACCAAAGGGGCAUUUGAGAACUGGAGCUGCCCGAUGGCAAGAGGGCACUUGUAUCAGAAGCUUCACUGCACAGGCCUACAAUAAAUGGUGCCUUGACAUCAAAUGAGUUGGUUGGCUAGUUCCUUCCCCAUGAAAUUGUUAUUUUAAACCCCAAACUACCUGGCAUAAUUUCCAGUCUGCUGACUGAAAAUCAGAAUGGAGCAUAACUAUUUUCCUUGCAGAAAAAGGCUGCCCAGGGAUGUACUGGAGAUGAUCAGGAGAGACAUGCUUUUCUCCUUCAAACCUUUUGCCUGCUUUGUAUUUCCAGUUUUCACAGCCCACCUUUUUCAGAGACCACACACAGAGACUACACUGAUUGGAAUCAAGUUUAAAGGCAUGGCUUACAUUCAGGGGCUUAUUUAAAACAAAGGCUCAAAUGUCCCGUCACCAGGUCUCAAUCUGAACCAACUUCCAGAUUAUAGAUGAACGUAGUCUUCACUGUGCUACCUGCUCUGAAUAUAUCCAUGCAGUUUCAUUCAAUUUUUCUGGAGGAGACCGAUCAGCAAUUUUCAUAAGAUGGGGGCGAGUAGUAGCGUGAAUGAACCCUGUCUAAAGCAUGUGGAAGACGAGGAGGAACGCAAAGCCCUUAACAUCGAAGCUAUAGGACAAACUGGCUGUAUACUUUGCUUGAAGAAUUAUGAAUCAUGAUAAAAGUAACCUGUAAUGCCCCUAGAAAUAGGGCUCUUGUUUAAUCUCUGCUUAAACAUUGACUAAAGACACAAUGGCCACAUCUAGCAAUGUGAUUCUGGAGACAGUGCUGCGGUCUGCAACGGGACAUGAAUGGCCAAGCCAAGCUUGCAAACAUGGGAUGCUGUGCGUGGGGACAGACCUAUGGAGUCUUGCUCUGUUACUCAGGCUGGAGUGCAG
This 1221-nucleotide long non-coding RNA is filed under the name Homo sapiens (human). RNAcentral describes it as "HSALNT0337730". Lineage: Eukaryota; Metazoa; Chordata; Mammalia; Primates; Hominidae. The record is from RNAcentral.